UAGGGAAACUUACGCUAAUACCGCAUACGACCUACGGGUGAAAGCAGGGGAUCUUCGGACCUUGCGCGAUUGAAUGAGCCGAUGUCGGAUUAGCUAGUUGGCGGGGUAAAGGCCCACCAAGGCGACGAUCCGUAGCUGGUCUGAGAGGAUGAUCAGCCACACUGGAACUGAGACACGGUCCAGACUCCUACGGGAGGCAGCAGUGGGGAAUAUUGGACAAUGGGCGCAAGCCUGAUCCAGCCAUACCGCGUGGGUGAAGAAGGCCUUCGGGUUGUAAAGCCCUUUUGUUGGGAAAGAAAUCCAGCUGGCUAAUACCCGGUUGGGAUGACGGUACCCAAAGAAUAAGCACCGGCUAACUUCGUGCCAGCAGCCGCGGUAAUACGAAGGGUGCAAGCGUUACUCGGAAUUACUGGGCGUAAAGCGUGCGUAGGUGGUCGUUUAAGUCCGUUGUGAAAGCCCUGGGCUCAACCUGGGAACUGCAGUGGAUACUGGGCGACUAGAGUGUGGUAGAGGGUAGCGGAAUUCCUGGUGUAGCAGUGAAAUGCGUAGAGAUCAGGAGGAACAUCCAUGGCGAAGGCAGCUACCUGGACCAACAC
RNAcentral lists this ribosomal RNA (596 nucleotides) under Stenotrophomonas sp. RNAcentral's name for it is "bacterial SSU rRNA". It matches the Rfam family "Bacterial small subunit ribosomal RNA", at positions 149 to 740 of the family's 1533-position model. Lineage: Bacteria; Pseudomonadati; Pseudomonadota; Gammaproteobacteria; Lysobacterales; Lysobacteraceae. The record is from RNAcentral.